RNAcentral lists this ribosomal RNA (253 nucleotides) under uncultured bacterium. RNAcentral describes it as "partial 16S ribosomal RNA". It matches the Rfam family "Bacterial small subunit ribosomal RNA", at positions 524 to 776 of the family's 1533-position model. The record is from RNAcentral.
UACGUAGGGUGCGAGCGUUAAUCGGAAUUACUGGGCGUAAAGCGUGCGUAGGCGGUCCGCGAAGUCUGAUGUGAAAGCCCCGGGCUCAACCUGGGAACUGCAUUGGAAACUAACGGGCUCGAGUGUGGCAGAGGGGGGUGGAAUUCCACGUGUAGCGGUGAAAUGCGUAGAGAUGUGGAGGAACACCGAUGGCGAAGGCAGCCUUCUGGGCCAACACUGACGCUCAUGCACGAAAGCGUGGGGAGCAAACAGG